This 573-nucleotide ribosomal RNA is filed under the name Fusarium sp. RNAcentral's name for it is "LSU rRNA". It matches the Rfam family "Eukaryotic large subunit ribosomal RNA", at positions 70 to 665 of the family's 3401-position model. Lineage: Eukaryota; Fungi; Ascomycota; Sordariomycetes; Hypocreales; Nectriaceae. The record is from RNAcentral.
GGCCAUUGCCCUAGUAACGGCGAGUGAAGCGGCAACAGCUCAAAUUUGAAAUCUGGCUCUCGGGCCCGAGUUGUAAUUUGUAGAGGAUACUUUUGAUGCGGUGCCUUCCGAGUUCCCUGGAACGGGACGCCAUAGAGGGUGAGAGCCCCGUCUGGUUGGAUGCCAAAUCUCUGUAAAGUUCCUUCAACGAGUCGAGUAGUUUGGGAAUGCUGCUCUAAAUGGGAGGUAUAUGUCUUCUAAAGCUAAAUACCGGCCAGAGACCGAUAGCGCACAAGUAGAGUGAUCGAAAGAUGAAAAGCACUUUGAAAAGAGAGUUAAAAAGUACGUGAAAUUGUUGAAAGGGAAGCGUUUAUGACCAGACUUGGGCUUGGUUAAUCAUCUGGGGUUCUCCCCAGUGCACUUUUCCAGUCCAGGCCAGCAUCAGUUUUCCCCGGGGGAUAAAGGCGGCGGGAAUGUGGCUCUCUUCGGGGAGUGUUAUAGCCCACCGUGUAAUACCCUGGGGGGGACUGAGGUUCGCGCAUCUGCAAGGAUGCUGGCGUAAUGGUCAUCAACGACCCGUCUUGAAAACACGGA